CGCGUAGGCGGCUUGGUCAGUCCCGUGUGAAAUCCCUCGGCUCAACUGAGGAACUGCACGGGAAACUGCCUGGCUUGAGUUCGGGAGAGGGAAGCGGAAUUCCGGGUGUAGCGGUGAAAUGCGUAGAUAUCCGGAGGAACACCGGUGGCGAAGGCGGCUUCCUGGACCGACACUGACGCUGAGGCGCGAAAGCUAGGGGAGCAAACG
This 207-nucleotide ribosomal RNA is filed under the name uncultured bacterium. RNAcentral's name for it is "partial 16S ribosomal RNA". It matches the Rfam family "Bacterial small subunit ribosomal RNA", at positions 568 to 774 of the family's 1533-position model. The record is from RNAcentral.